GUCUGUGGCCACACCACCCUGAACUCACCCAAUCUCAUCUGAUCUCAGAAGCUAAGCAGGGUCAGCCCUGGUUAGUACUUGGAUGGGAGUAACAGUCA
This 98-nucleotide ribosomal RNA is filed under the name Capra hircus (goat). The record is from RNAcentral. Lineage: Eukaryota; Metazoa; Chordata; Mammalia; Artiodactyla; Bovidae.